UCUGCUGCUAGAUUACUGCAAGUGUGGCAGUGGUGUCUCAUGUGCUUCAUAGGUGGCAGAGGAGAGAGAGGUUAUGUCUAAGCUCAGGUUGUGGCCUGAGGAACAUCUGAAUGAUGAAGAGUAUAACACA
This is a small nucleolar RNA of Arvicanthis niloticus (Nile rat), 130 nucleotides long. RefSeq annotates it as small nucleolar RNA SNORA17. The record is from RefSeq and is a predicted model, not a curated record. Lineage: Eukaryota; Metazoa; Chordata; Mammalia; Rodentia; Muridae.